GUUCUGUUGCCCUUUUAUCUCAGGUCUGGGUGAUGUUAUGAAUGGUGAUACUUAGGUUCCUAGAACUCAGCCGGCCCAGCAUGCAUUGUGCACAGAUUUGACGUUAUCUAAGCAAGGGUUGGCUAUGGCCCAUCUUGGAGAAGGGAAGGCAUUAGGGUUGUUCUGAUGGAGCAGUUUGUUUACUCUUAGGACACAAAGGAAGAAGUACCCAGGGGGAGUGCAUGCCUGACACACUUCUGAGGAACUGAACCACCUCCAUCAGUAGCUAGCCCGAGAGAAGGCACCUUUGCAGUGUGAGAGAGGCCCACAAGGGCAAUUCUUGGCUAGUGGCUUUUCCACAGGCGUCAGGAGGGCUACAUACUAAUGCUAACACCAGACAACCGACGUCUUCCUUCCCAGCAAGUACAUCUCCUGUCUUGUCCCUGUGUGUGUUCAUUGAGUCAGUGCAGAAGGCACCAGUGGGUGAGAUUUCCAUAGGAUUCAGUCCCAAGGGCCCUUAAACUGUGAGUAAUGGAAGAGGCAUUGACCAGGGUCCAGAGAAGCCCCAGGUGUUACUGCAAGUUCCUCCCUUUGGUAGGGGCAGUGAGGCACUUCAGAGUGAGGACUUUGUAUUCUUUAGAGAUGUUAAUUCAAGGGGCGAGAUCCAAGCUGUGAAGAUGCAUUAGCGACUGGAUAUGAACUUCAAAAGGGGUAGGGUUAACAGACCUGUUAGCCAAGGUGAGAGUGAGGUUGUCAUUCUUAGGGAUGAAAUGUAGUAUCUUUAAUCCUUAGGGAUCACUUUGUGGGUGGAAGUGACAGACCAGCACCGGGAUAGAUUUUGCUCAUGGGCUAUAAUCCCUAAGAAAUUUACUAUUGCAUUGAAUUCCUAUUCCCUGUGGACAGAAGAGAUGGAACAGAGGAGAUCAGAAAGAAUAGACAAUAAUGGCCACUCAUCCUGCUUCCAGUAUGAAGAUUCCCCUACAUCUAGCAUGGACAGAAGUGUUGACAGAGGGAGGAGUUUUGGCAGAACAACAGAAGUCAAGUACGGCAAUGGCAAAGAAAAAGCCAACUACUAAGCCUGUCUGUCUACCACAUUACUUUAUUGGCUUCCAAAUAAACCCAAUCCUAGGGGACAAAAGAUGUGAAUCCAUAUCAGAAGAGAGAGGCAGUUCUGGAUUCCUGAGGUGUGUAAAGCUUUGAUUCUGCCCCCUCUCUGUAAGGUCUGUUUUCACCAGUCCAUAGCCCUAGGCUUGGUCUUGGAGCUGGGUUCUUCAGGAUAGGCUUCCUGUACAUGAGCUCAUAUGGACUCAACCUGAGUUUCCUUUGGGGGCCAUUUGCAUUCUCAAAAGUGCUGUGGGGAGAAGGGAGAUCUAGGCUGAUGAAUGAACCACAGGAGAAUUCCUAAAUUUUUGCUGAGGGUUUGGUUUGUUCUACUUUUCCUGAGGAUUGUGGCCUCCAAGUAGCGUGUGAACCCCAUUUGAUUCGUAGAGCUCUAGAGUUUCUCUUAGUAAUUUGGGAAAAUAACAUGGGCCCGUUGUGACUCUGGAUGGAUAUAAGGAGCCUGAGCUGAAGAUUACUUCCUUGAGCAAGGCCUUAGACCUCCAAGCAGUCUCUGUUUGAGUGGGGAAUGCUCCAUUAGUUGGAGAAGGUGUCAAAACCAGCAUAGGAGUUCCCUGGUAGCCUCAUGGUUAAGGAUUAGGCAUUGUCACUGCUAUGGUUCGAGUUCAUUUCCCAGCCUGGGAACCUCUGUGUACCAUGAAUGUGGCCAAAAAACAAAACAAAACCAGGAUAUAUCUAAAAUUUAAUUGCCCCAGGGCAUUACUGUGAAAUCAGAUUGCCAGUCUUAACCUGCAUAUGUGCCUUUAUACUGGGUGGGGGUCACUCCCUUGGCCUUGGGUCGGGGGAGGUGUGUUGGGCUUAUUCCAGAGGCAGAUAGGGCAGCUUUUACCACCUGUUUAAGUAGACUGCAGAAAUUGGGAGUAGUCAUGGAUUGGAUAAGCUAUUGAUACAGGGCCUCCUGCCCAUAAAGUAUGCUCUAGUGAGUUUCCCAGAGAGCAAUGGCUGAUGGGAGAAUAGCUGCCCAUGACCAUUAACCAGCUACCUGGGUAUUAUGCCUUUUAAAACAACCCCACCUUUGAGUUUCCUGGUGGCCUAGUGGUUUAGGAUUUGGCAUUGUCACUGCUGUGGCUCAGAUUUGAUC
RNAcentral lists this long non-coding RNA (2179 nucleotides) under Sus scrofa (pig). RNAcentral's name for it is "lncRNA (ENSSSCG00050054430.1)". Lineage: Eukaryota; Metazoa; Chordata; Mammalia; Artiodactyla; Suidae. The record is from RNAcentral.